UUAGCCAGCGGGCCUCACCUCGUGUUUCCUGAAGUAGUUGAUAGUAGUUUCAAACUUACUUAAAUAAUACUUUCUAGAGAUUUAUGAUGUACCUUUUGAGUCUCAGUUAUAAAAAAUGACAGUUUAUUCAAAGGAACCGAAGCAAGUCUUUACAGAUGCGGGAGAAUCCUUGAGGAGGUUAUGCACAAGGUCUUCUACAGAACGAAAUGAAGAGUAUACAAUGACCUACAUGCCUGGAUAGCAAGAUACAGGUAGCCUAUUCUCUUUUUUUUGCAUCACUACAUACUAUCUUUCAUUAAUUUGUUUGUGCAGUUCACUAUUUGCCUAACGGUUCAUUGAAAUUACUUAUUUUCGGUUUAUUUCUAUAGCCGGCAUGUGUAUUUUAUGGCUACCAACUUGCAUCCAGAUAAAGUCAAACUGAAUCCAGUAGCAUGUUUGGUUGGUGUCUUGUGUGUGAUAUGCAUGGCCUGGGAACUGCAUGUGUGUUGUUGCUGAAUUUUGCAUGGCUGCAACCUGAUUGCUCUGAUGGUGGAUGUUCCCAUGUGAACUUCAUUGUUAGCAAGCUGAGUUAGUAUUUCGUCAACCGUAAUUAUUAACAUUGAAGUGAAGAAAUGUAAGUACCAAAGCUGAACCUACAGCUAGCAGUCUCCUCCUCUCUGACACGAAUGGGUCGGAUCAGGCAACCUCGAAGGUGGACGUCAUGGCACCCUUUCGAGGAUGCACCCAGGCGGACAAGGAGCACAAGAAGUUCAAAGGUUGUGAACCUAUAGUGCAGAUUCAGUUUGAGCUCCACAAGGAGCCGUACAUGCAUCUGGCAUACUCAUCUAUACCAUGACUAGGUAAGAAAAGUGUCAUGUUCUUCCAUGGAAUGUGCGCUGGUGUUCAAUGUGUGUGUGGGUUUUCAGAUGGAAGCUUGAUAAUCUCUACUUGAUAUGCAUGGCUUACUUCCACCAUCACUUCACUGCCGGAGCGAAACUACAUUCAGGGAAUUGGCUACAGAGAUCUACAGA
Long non-coding RNA from Lolium perenne, 1010 nucleotides. RefSeq lists it as uncharacterized. The record is from RefSeq and is a predicted model, not a curated record. NCBI's taxonomy places the organism in Eukaryota, Viridiplantae, Streptophyta, Magnoliopsida, Poales, Poaceae.